This is a non-coding RNA of Doryrhamphus excisus (bluestripe pipefish), 1312 nucleotides long. The record is from RefSeq and is a predicted model, not a curated record. NCBI's taxonomy places the organism in Eukaryota, Metazoa, Chordata, Actinopteri, Syngnathiformes, Syngnathidae.
CCGCAGUCUCACAAAAGUUGGGUCACUGUCCUUGCUCUGUACGUCUAUGGCGGAGUCUGAAAGAACCAAAAGUAAAGUCUGACGGAGAACAACAGCAGCCUUUUUCUGAUGGCCCCGACCACACUCAACCCCAGAGACCUGUGUCUUCUGUCAUCAGCAUGCAGACAGGGACAAUGUAUAUCUAAAUUUAGACCUCCAUGUUGCUUCACAGACCUGAAUUCAACUCAGUCAUUUUCCUCUGAAGUUGUGACAAAGACAGUAGUGCAUCACAUUCAUAUAGCACUUUUCCAGGUCCUCAAAAAUGCUGUCAAAACAAGAAGGUGGUGCACAUUUUCUAUUUGGGGACAGUCGCAUCAAGAAUCACGUCUUGAAUGAAGAGAACAGCAGUGGCGAUUGCUCUAAAACUACGCUACUGACUUUGAUGGGGAAACAGUGGGUGGUUCCACUGCUCAAAACUGGACGGUCAUUUGAUAAAAGCUGGGCCUUGUACCACCAAUCGGACGCCCAGCGUCUCUGGCGGUCUGUGGGGCAGUGGGCUGGCCUGGACACUCUGCUUCUGCAUGAUGAUUGGAUGAUCUGUCUGAGGUGGAAUCCAUUUCUGAUUGACAGUGAAAUGAGUGAAUCAGCCAUCUUGAAGUACAAACCAUUUUCCAAGUUUUUCACUUUGUCGUUGUGAACUGAUCCAGAGACUUUACCGAUCCUCAGUGACUUUGUCUGUGUUGCGUUAGGAGACUCUCUUCUGUCAUUUAGCGGUUUCUUUCCCCAACAAGCAGCAGCAGCUGCUGAUCUUCUCCCCUCUGUCACGAUCACUCAUACUCACAACCGGUCACUCAGUAGCCUCGCACAGCAACUUCAGCUGCUAGCAAGCGGCACAUCAUGGCAAAUACUAGAAUUAUCAUAUCAAUAGAUACAUUUUUGAAGGCCGGAGAAAAAUGAGAUUGCUCUCCUUGAAUGACCAGCAGCCGUCACUGGGUAAAAGUAACCUUAAAUGUUGGUUUAUCCCUUUCAUUUAUCAUUUGUAAGUAUUUAUAUGCAUUUCUGAAUGAAAUCCUCUGAAGAACAUCCUUACUGUAGUGGCUACCAAGAGAAGCAACUUUUGGUCUAAAUUUAGAACAACAGUAACACCCUUGGUGUUACUUUUUAUCAGACACUGGCUGUUAUUUUGCACAUUUGGGAUUCCCCACAAAGGUAAAUUCCCCAUUUUGGCUCCACAAGAUAAUGUUGCCAACACACACACACCUUUUCACAUAAAAACAGAUGUGGAGUGAAUUCCCGUUGGCAGCCGCAGCCUCUGAAUCAUCAGCUGGGAUUC